Non-coding RNA from Oryzias latipes (Japanese medaka), 2019 nucleotides. The record is from RefSeq and is a predicted model, not a curated record. Lineage: Eukaryota; Metazoa; Chordata; Actinopteri; Beloniformes; Adrianichthyidae.
GGGUGCCCAAGGCGUACGUUCUUGUUUUUUUUGUUGGAAUUUUGGAAUUGUUUUCAAACAGAUAACGCUAAAACAAACAUUACCCUGACAACGCUAGUAACAUAAAAAAAAGAACAUUAGCUCGGAAAAAGCUGCUGUCGGUAUUUAUUGAUUUUUUUUGUCUCUUUACCAGCUUCCUUGAAUUCUGCUGUGAGGGUCACGGGGCUGCUUCGUGGGCAAAGGCAGCGGACAUCCUAGACAGGAAGACAGCCAGAAAAAUCUUUGGAAACUGAAUGAAGAAGCACAGACAAAUAUGACCAUAACAGCUGCAACGGCUAAUUUGGCUUAGGAAGCCUGAAGGAAGAGGAGCGGGGGAGAGAAGGAGGGAGGGGAUGAAGAAGAGUCGGAAAGAGGGAGGCCUUCAUUAUGAAAAGUGUGGAUGUUGGAGAUAAAGGUUAGUGUUAUUGAAUCUUGAUGCCCCUCUACAUCACACCUCUGUGGAGGAAACGGAUGGAGAUGAAAUGGAUAAGGAGGGACAAGGAUGGAAUUGGUAGAGGCGGAUGAGAUAGGGAAGGAAGGAGGAGAUAAACAUGGUGUUUGUGUCUUAGGUGUGAGCGUGUCGUGUUUGUGUUUUUUUUUGCUUCAGAACUGAGGACAACAAGCCUGCACGCACUUAAUCUCAGUUGGCCCCAAUAAGCCCAGUUACUCAAAAACUCCCUGCUUUUCAUUUUCCCAUCAUGUCCUCUUUUUUUCCCCACGCAAUUAUACUUUUUUUUUUACAUUAAACAUAAAUCUUCUUUUCUUGAGCUCCAGGUCUUUCUCCUGCUAUUCUAAGUCUCAUUCGUCAGUAGAAAAAGAAUCCUUUAUAAAAACACUUAUCUCCCAUAUGCAGCAAAUGGAGUUUGGGACACAGACCCUUUAUGCGUCUGACAUUUUUUUUCUCUGCUCUCUUCUCUGACAAACACUUUUCUUUUUAAGGUUUCUAAAAGUGUAUCCCCUCAUUUUGUCUGCUGGCCUCCGUUCUUUUUCCCCCCUUGUGUAUCCAUAUUUAAAGCCGAAGAAUCCAUCUAUUAUCAAACAGAAUUCUAUGUUUUCUUUAUGUUUUACUUUGAAAAUCAGCCCCACUUCUGACUUUAACCUAAAUAAACAAAGAAUGUAAUGUUAAGAUUUUAUUUUGAAGGUUUGGAGUUGUAUUUUUAGCACAGUAUUUACCACAAAGUCAAGGCCUUUGCCGUAUUUUCUACACUGUUAGGCACACUGUCAAUGAACAGCCAUCCAGUCAGAGAUAAUUCUGUCAGUCAGACUGCAUUAAUGGCGUUCAAAGAAAUUCUAGGACUUGUUCAUAAUAUGUUACACGUUAGCCGCUUUGGCAUAUUCACAGUAUCUCUAAUACCUUGUUUGUAACAUAUAAAAAAUACUAUUACAGCUAAAACAAACAAUACUGUGACCAUGCUAACUCCCAACCUUGUUAGUAUGCUGUUAAAAAACACAGACUAACAACACUACACAUUUGCUCUGUUUGAAGUGUUAGCCAUCUUAGCCACAUUAGCGUAUUUACAAUACCUCGCGUAACACCCAAACUUGUAUGCAACAAGUAACAAAAUCAGACUGAUACAGCUAAAACAAACAUUACUGAUACUAUAGCUAAUUCCCAACAUUGUUAGUAACACGUAAAAAAAACACAUUCCAACACCGCUACACAUUAGCCAAGUUAGUCACAAUACCCUUAACGCCCAACCUUGUUAGCAACUUGUACAAAAACAGACUGAUACUGCCAAAACAAUUGUUGUGAUUCUGCUAACUUCCAACCUUGUUGUAACACGUAAAUAAAACACCGCUUCACAUCAGCCGUGUUAGCAUAUUCACAAUACCUCUAACUCUCUACUCUUUGUGUGCAAAAUGUAAAAAGUCCAUUAUACAUCUAAUGGACGGUUUUGCUCACCGUGGUGUCAUUUGCUGCGGUUACAUGCGCAAAAUAUCUUGAUCGGAUCAAUGGUCGGAUUAAAAUCCAACCGUGUACAUGGGAUCAGAAAAACCUUU